AACGAACGCUGGCGGCAUGCCUAACACAUGCAAGUCGAACGAGACCUUCGGGUCUAGUGGCGCACGGGUGCGUAACGCGUGGGAACCUGCCCUUAGGUUCGGAAUAACUCCCCGAAAGGGGUGCUAAUACCGGAUAAUGUCUUCGGACCAAAGAUUUAUCGCCUUUGGAUGGGCCCGCGUUGGAUUUGCUAGUUGGUAGGGUAAAAGCCUACCAAGGCGACGAUCCAUAGCUGGUCUGAGAGGAUGAUCAGCCACACUGGGACUGAGACACGGUCCAGACUCCUACGGGAGGCAGCAGUGGGGAAUAUUGGACAAUGGGCGAAAGCCUGAUCCAGCAAUGCCGCGUGAGUGAUGAAGGCCUUAGGGUUGUAAAGCUCUUUUACCCGGGAUGAUAAUGACAGUACCGGGAGAAUAAGCUCCGGCUAACUCCGUG
This 433-nucleotide ribosomal RNA is filed under the name uncultured bacterium. RNAcentral describes it as "partial 16S ribosomal RNA". It matches the Rfam family "Bacterial small subunit ribosomal RNA", at positions 29 to 507 of the family's 1533-position model. The record is from RNAcentral.